UUAAGCGACUAAGCGUACACGGUGGAUGCCCUGGCAGUCAGAGGCGAUGAAGGACGUGCUAAUCUGCGAAAAGCGUCGGUAAGGUGAUAUGAACCGUUAUAGCCGGCGAUGUCCGAAUGGGGAAACCCAGUGCAAUUCGUUGCACUAUCGUUAACUGAAUACAUAGGUUAACGAGGCGAACCGGGGGAACUGAAACAUCUAAGUACCCCGAGGAAAAGAAAUCAACCGAGAUUCCCCCAGUAGCGGCGAGCGAACGGGGAGCAGCCCAGAGUCUGAAUCAGCUUGUGUGUUAGUGGAACGGUCUGGAAAGUCCGACGGUACAGGGUGAUAGUCCCGUACACCAAAAUGCACAGGCUGUGAACUCGAAGAGUAGGGCGGGACACGUGGUAUCCUGUCUGAAUAUGGGGGGACCAUCCUCCAAGGCUAAAUACUCCUGACUGACCGAUAGUGAACCAGUACCGUGAGGGAAAGGCGAAAAGAACCCCGGCGAGGGGAGUGAAAAAGAACCUGAAACCGUGUACGUACAAGCAGUGGGAGCACCUUCGGGUGUGACUGCGUACCUUUUGUAUAAUGGGUCAGCGACUUAUAUUCUGUAGCAAGGUUAACCGUAUAGGGGAGCCGCAGGGAAACCGAGUCUUAACUGGGCGUUAAGUUGCAGGGUAUAGACCCGAAACCCGGUGAUCUAGCCAUGGGCAGGUUGAAGGUUGGGUAACACUAACUGGAGGACCGAACCGACUAAUGUUGAAAAAUUAGCGGAUGACUUGUGGCUGGGGGUGAAAGGCCAAUCAAACCGGGAGAUAGCUGGUUCUCCCCGAAAGCUAUUUAGGUAGCGCCUCGUGAAUUCAUCUUCGGGGGUAGAGCACUGUUUCGGCUAGGGGGUCAUCCCGACUUACCAACCCGAUGCAAACUACGAAUACCGAAGAAUGUUAUCACGGGAGACACACGGCGGGUGCUAACGUCCGUCGUGAAGAGGGAAACAACCCAGACCGCCAGCUAAGGUCCCAAAGUCAUGGUUAAGUGGGAAACGAUGUGGGAAGGCACAGACAGCCAGGAUGUUGGCUUAGAAGCAGCCAUCAUUUAAAGAAAGCGUAAUAGCUCACUGGUCGAGUCGGCCUGCGCGGAAGAUGUAACGGGGCUAAACCAUGCACCGAAGCUGCGGCAGCGACACUAUGUGUUGUUGGGUAGGGGAGCGUUCUGUAAGCCUGCGAAGGUGUGCUGUGAGGCAUGCUGGAGGUAUCAGAAGUGCGAAUGCUGACAUAAGUAACGAUAAAGCGGGUGAAAAGCCCGCUCGCCGGAAGACCAAGGGUUCCUGUCCAACGUUAAUCGGGGCAGGGUGAGUCGACCCCUAAGGCGAGGCCGAAAGGCGUAGUCGAUGGGAAACAGGUUAAUAUUCCUGUACUUGGUGUUACUGCGAAGGGGGGACGGAGAAGGCUAUGUUAGCCGGGCGACGGUUGUCCCGGUUUAAGCAUGUAGGCUGAUUGUCCAGGCAAAUCCGGAUAAUCAAGGCUGAGGUGUGAUGACGAGGCACUACGGUGCUGAAGUAACAAAUGCCCUGCUUCCAGGAAAAGCCUCUAAGCAUCAGGUAACAUCAAAUCGUACCCCAAACCGACACAGGUGGUCAGGUAGAGAAUACCAAGGCGCUUGAGAGAACUCGGGUGAAGGAACUAGGCAAAAUGGUGCCGUAACUUCGGGAGAAGGCACGCUGGUGUGUAGGUGAAGCCCCUGCGGGUGGAGCUGAGACCAGUCGAAGAUACCAGCUGGCUGCAACUGUUUAUUAAAAACACAGCACUGUGCAAACACGAAAGUGGACGUAUACGGUGUGACGCCUGCCCGGUGCCGGAAGGUUAAUUGAUGGGGUUAUCCGUAAGGAGAAGCUCUUGAUCGAAGCCCCGGUAAACGGCGGCCGUAACUAUAACGGUCCUAAGGUAGCGAAAUUCCUUGUCGGGUAAGUUCCGACCUGCACGAAUGGCGUAAUGAUGGCCAGGCUGUCUCCACCCGAGACUCAGUGAAAUUGAACUCGCUGUGAAGAUGCAGUGUACCCGCGGCAAGACGGAAAGACCCCGUGAACCUUUACUAUAGCUUGACACUGAACAUUGAGCCUUGAUGUGUAGGAUAGGUGGGAGGCUUUGAAGCGUGGACGCCAGUCUGCGUGGAGCCAACCUUGAAAUACCACCCUUUAAUGUUUGAUGUUCUAACGUUGGCCCCUUACCGGGGUUGCGGACAGUGUCUGGUGGGUAGUUUGACUGGGGCGGUCUCCUCCCAAAGCGUAACGGAGGAGCACGAAGGUUAGCUAAUCCUGGUCGGACAUCAGGAGGUUAGUGCAAUGGCAUAAGCUAGCUUGACUGCGAGCGUGACGGCGCGAGCAGGUGCGAAAGCAGGUCAUAGUGAUCCGGUGGUUCUGAAUGGAAGGGCCAUCGCUCAACGGAUAAAAGGUACUCCGGGGAUAACAGGCUGAUACCGCCCAAGAGUUCAUAUCGACGGCGGUGUUUGGCACCUCGAUGUCGGCUCAUCACAUCCUGGGGCUGAAGUAGGUCCCAAGGGUAUGGCUGUUCGCCAUUUAAAGUGGUACGCGAGCUGGGUUUAGAACGUCGUGAGACAGUUCGGUCCCUAUCUGCCGUGGGCGCUGGAGAAUUGAGGGGGGCUGCUCCUAGUACGAGAGGACCGGAGUGGACGCAUCACUGGUGUUCGGGUUGUCAUGCCAAUGGCACUGCCCGGUAGCUAAAUGCGGAAGAGAUAAGUGCUGAAAGCAUCUAAGCACGAAACUUGCCCCGAGAUGAGUUCUCCCUGAGACUUUAAGUCUCCUGAAGGAACGUUGAAGACGACGACGUUGAUAGGCCGGGUGUGUAAGCGCAGCGAUGCGUUGAGCUAACCGGUACUAAUGAACCGUGAGGCUUAACCUU
Molecule: ribosomal RNA, 2900 nt
Filed under: Klebsiella pneumoniae
Lineage: Bacteria; Pseudomonadati; Pseudomonadota; Gammaproteobacteria; Enterobacterales; Enterobacteriaceae
Description: bacterial LSU rRNA
Rfam family: Bacterial large subunit ribosomal RNA
Source: RNAcentral